UAUACUGUGUUUAGUUACUCCAUGCUGAAGCCGACUAUAACCGUGCUGUUUUUUUCUGUUGAGUAAAUAUACGAGUAUUAUUGGUUUGAUGGUCCUCAAAGCCCAUCCUUUGAAGAAUUAUCUUCUCAAUUGCAAGAUUUAGAUACCACGGAAGAUCAGAAUGAAGAAGAUACUGAUGAAGAUGAGGAGAGUGAUGCCAGUAGUGAGGAUGAAUGUUUUUCUGAUGAGUCAGAUGAAAAUUAAUUACUUUUUUAUAUAAAAAUAUCUACUUUUUCAUGUAUGUUACAUAAUAAAGUUGAUUUAUUUCAA
Colias croceus (clouded yellow) is the source of this 309-nucleotide long non-coding RNA. RefSeq lists it as uncharacterized. NCBI's taxonomy places the organism in Eukaryota, Metazoa, Arthropoda, Insecta, Lepidoptera, Pieridae. The record is from RefSeq and is a predicted model, not a curated record. The transcript is spliced from 2 exons.